This is a long non-coding RNA of Salmo salar (Atlantic salmon), 1463 nucleotides long. RefSeq lists it as uncharacterized. NCBI's taxonomy places the organism in Eukaryota, Metazoa, Chordata, Actinopteri, Salmoniformes, Salmonidae. The record is from RefSeq and is a predicted model, not a curated record.
CAGAAGAUGCUCCAUAGCAGGGUGCUCAUAUCAGAUUUCUUGAUCCAACAUCCUCUCACUCUGUAUCUCUUACAGUCAGUAGACAUGGAGGAUGGGAAGCCUGAUCUGCAGCUGCUCAAAGUGGAGACAAGAGGACAGACCAGAGAGUGGAUUAAAGAUGUGGGAUCAAGGUGGUUGGCUGUAAGCUAACCGAGGAGACUGGGCGGCCAUCUUGGAUUCCCAGACCCAGACUGUUGCAGCCAAGGUCCCUGGGGACGACAUCACCAAGCAGGCCAGGACCAGAGGCGACAUAGCGGAGUCUGCAGUCCAUGAGGACCUGCUGAUAUCCGGUGUUGCUGGUGGGAGAGACUGGACCUCUGAGGUGGCUGGUCAUAAACUCUGGCCCCAGAUCAGGACCCUGGAUGAGAAGCUUUCGCUCUUCCUUCCCAAGUCAGAACCAGGACCCAACCACGAGGGACAGAGACCCCACCACCACCACAUAGAACACAACUAGUGGACAGGUAGACUGAACAGCCUCAGUCCUAGUGGUCAUCAGAGAGACAGAGGCUCCAGUCAGAGAUCUAGUCUGCAGCCCAGAACCUUCUCUCCACAGUCUCAAUGCAGGGAUGAAGCAGGGCCUGGGGCUGAUAGAGAUAGACCCACCUGUUCCUAUGAUACAAACAUCACAGUAUCCAUGAUGAACAGAAUAAGUCACCCUGGGCUUCAGCCUUCAUAGAGAGUAGUGGGAGACACCCCUGGUGGAAGUCUAUCAGGAAGUCUGUCUUCUCCUUCAGGAUCUUGUCUAAUGCUUAGUGACUGUGUUCAUAGAAAGCCUGGAGCUGGAUCUAUCCUUCCUCAGCUGCCUCAUAGUUACCCCACCAAUACAGACCGGGUCAGGACGGGCGUUCACCACAAGAGGUACCUAGCCAAUAACACAGCACACAAUCCCAAUAACACCCAAACAAUGGCUAGAGGUCAAGGAGGGAGCUCAAAGACUAACCACCUGAGGCUGGUCGCUCCUGCUUCUACCUCCUCUGGUGUCAUUGGGUCACAACGUGGGAGGCAGAGUAUUAGGACAGACGCCGACAAGCCGUACGCCUGCCCCACGUGUGGGAAGCGCUUUACUGAGUCGAACUAUGUGAAUUGGCACAAGACCGUUCACUCCAAGGAGAGGCCCUUCAAGUGCAAAGUAUGUUACAAGAGCUUCUCCUUCCUGAGUAGCCUUAUCAGACAUAGGAGUGUCCACAAUGGGGAGAAAUUGUAGCAUGUGGCUUGAGAUGUACACCAGGGAUAUCUGGGAGCCAUUCUUUAGCUUAGCAAUUCUCAACUGGUGGGUCACAGGGAGGUUUGGAAUGGGUCGCAGGUGUCUGAGUAAAAACAAAAAAGUGUAUAUAUAUUUAUAUAUAUUACAGUUGAAGUCGGAGGUUAACAUACACUUAUGUUGGAGUCAUUUAAACUUGUUUUUCAACCACUCCACAAAUUUC